Molecule: ribosomal RNA, 468 nt
Filed under: uncultured bacterium
Lineage: Bacteria
Description: partial 16S ribosomal RNA
Rfam family: Bacterial small subunit ribosomal RNA
Source: RNAcentral
GACGAACGCUGGCGGCGUGCUUAACACAUGCAAGUCGAACGGUACGUCCCUGCUUUUUUCGUGUGCUCGAGUGGCAAAAGGGUUAGUAACAGGUGGGUAACCUGCCCUUUAAUUUGGCCUAACUUCAGGAAAAUGGGUCUGAUACCGGUUCGAAUCUCCUGCUACAUUUUAUGGGGUGUAACGUUUCGGGGGAUGGGGAUUGACUCGCGGCUUAUUAGCUUGUUGGUGGGGUAGUGGCUUACCAAGGCUUUGACGGGUAGCCGGCCUGCGAGGGUGACCGGCCACAUUGGGACUGAGAUACGGCCCAGACUCCUACGGGAGGCAGCAGUGGGGAAUAUUGCACAAUGGGCGGAAGCCUGAUGCAGCAACGCCGCGUGCGGGAUGACGGCCUUCGGGUUGUAAACCGCUUUCGCCUGUGACGAAGCGUGAGUGACGGUAAUGGGUAAAGAAGCACCGGCUAACUACGUG